Molecule: ribosomal RNA, 123 nt
Organism: Piliocolobus tephrosceles (Ugandan red Colobus)
Lineage: Eukaryota; Metazoa; Chordata; Mammalia; Primates; Cercopithecidae
Source: Ensembl
GUCUAUAACCACAGCACCCUGCACGUACCCAAUCCUGCUUGAUCUUGGAAGCUAAGAGUUAGGGUCAGGACUGGUUGGUACUUGGAUGGGAGAAAACUGAGACUGAAGAGGUUGCUUAAGGUC